This is a long non-coding RNA of Oryctolagus cuniculus (rabbit), 426 nucleotides long. RefSeq lists it as uncharacterized. The record is from RefSeq and is a predicted model, not a curated record. NCBI's taxonomy places the organism in Eukaryota, Metazoa, Chordata, Mammalia, Lagomorpha, Leporidae.
CUGACAGGCAGCCCACGAGGCAGCAGCGUGCAGCCCACGAGACCGUCGCGCUCGGGAGCCCACAAGGGCCCACAGAGACUGCUGGCACCGGGAGGCUGCCCUCUGGAGCGAUGUCCCUGACCCCGUGCUCUCCCAGAUGCCAGUCCCACACAAGCAUUUGCCAUGCGCCCACACUGUGAGUGCCACUUGCCACCCUUCCCGGCCAUCACCUGCAUCAAGGAAGUGCGGCCACCGUCAGCUCUCUGCCAUGGCCUGGGAGAGCAGUGGGAGAUGGCCCAAGUCCUUGGGCCUCUGCACCUGCAUGGGAGACCUGAAGAAGCUCCUGGCUCCUGAUUGGCGUAGCUCCAGCCAUUGCAACCAACUGGGGAGUGAACCAGCGGAUGGAAGACCUCUCUCUCUCUCCCUGCCUCUCCUCUCUCUGUGUAA